Molecule: small nucleolar RNA, 136 nt
Organism: Catagonus wagneri (Chacoan peccary)
Lineage: Eukaryota; Metazoa; Chordata; Mammalia; Artiodactyla; Tayassuidae
Gene: SNORA48
Product: small nucleolar RNA, H/ACA box 48
Source: Ensembl
UGUCCCUGACCCUGGGUAGAGUGGCACCUGGUUGGUGGUGCCUGUCUCAUAUCAGCCAGGGACAAAGCAACUCCUUGUUCAUCCCAGCUUGGCUUUUGGUUUGUGCCCAUGCCUGGUUCAUGCCCUGGACACAUGG